CUCUCUCAGAUCUCUCUGCCUCUCUGGGCUUUAAUCUAAGGAAAGAGAAGCUUUGAAAGAAAAAGGGGAGAGAAAUAAGAGGGAAGUUUAGGUCAUCAGGGGAUUCUAUUGUCCAUGUAGUGGUUGAUGCCAAGUAACUCGUGCGUAUAUUACAUAUUGGCUCUGUGGAUGUGCUUAAAAUAGGAAUAUAAACAUAUGUUUACCUUUGUCCUUGGGAUCUACACUCUUGUUGUUUCAGAGGCUUUAUCAGAAAAUUGCAAGAUGAGUUGGAGAAACUUGAGUAGAGGGAGCGGGAUGCAGGCCGGAAGAUGAUGAAUAAACAACCAUGAAGGAGCAAGAAAUGCUGCAGAGUUGCAAAGUCCAUUGUUGAAUGUUUUGGUUUGGAUGCAAAUAGGUGGGUAAGCUAGAAGUAAUAAGACUAACAAAAAUAUUGAAAAUUGGUUUAUUGGCUGACUUUGGUGCCAUUUUGUAUUUAUUGGGUGAAGAAUAUUGAAGAAAAUAUUUUGAUGUGCUGGUGUAAUUAAAUUCACUUGUUGACCAU
This is a non-coding RNA of Prunus mume (Japanese apricot), 541 nucleotides long. NCBI's taxonomy places the organism in Eukaryota, Viridiplantae, Streptophyta, Magnoliopsida, Rosales, Rosaceae. The record is from RefSeq and is a predicted model, not a curated record.